This 483-nucleotide ribosomal RNA is filed under the name uncultured bacterium. Its description in RNAcentral is "partial 16S ribosomal RNA". It matches the Rfam family "Bacterial small subunit ribosomal RNA", at positions 28 to 507 of the family's 1533-position model. The record is from RNAcentral.
GACGAACGCUGGCGGCGUGCUUAACACAUGCAAGUCGAACGCUGAAGCUCAGCUUUUGUUGGGUGGAUGAGUGGCGAACGGGUGAAUAACACGUGAGUAACCUGCCCCCUUCUUUGGGAUAACGCCCGGAAACGGGUGCUAAUACUGGAUAUUCACUGGUCUUCGCAUGGGGGUUGGUGGAAAGGGUUUUUCUGGUGGGGGAUGGGCUCGCGGCCUAUCAGCUUGUUGGUGGGGUGAUGGCCUACCAAGGCUUUGACGGGUAGCCGGCCUGAGAGGGUGACCGGUCACAUUGGGACUGAGAUACGGCCCAGACUCCUACGGGAGGCAGCAGUGGGGAAUAUUGCACAAUGGGCGCAAGCCUGAUGCAGCGACGCCGCGUGAGGGAUGGAGGCCUUCGGGUUGUGAACCUCUUUCGCUCAUGGUCAAGCCGCAACAAUGGUUGUGGUGAGGGUAGUGGGUAAAGAAGCGCCGGCUAACUACGUG